This 398-nucleotide ribosomal RNA is filed under the name uncultured bacterium. RNAcentral describes it as "bacterial SSU rRNA". It matches the Rfam family "Bacterial small subunit ribosomal RNA", at positions 30 to 429 of the family's 1533-position model. The record is from RNAcentral.
AUUGAACGCUGGCGGCAUGCCUUACACAUGCAAGUCGAACGGCAGCACGGGAGCAAUCCUGGUGGCGAGUGGCGAACGGGUGAGUAAUAUAUCGGAACGUGCCCAGUCGUGGGGAUAACGUAGCGAAAGCUACGCUAAUACCGCAUACGAUCUAUGGAUGAAAGCGGGGGAUCGCAAGACCUCGCGCGAUUGGAGCGGCCGAUAUCAGAUUAGGUAGUUGGUGAGGUAAAGGCUCACCAAGCCGACGAUCUGUAGCUGGUCUGAGAGGACGACCAGCCACACUGGGACUGAGACACGGCCCAGACUCCUACGGGAGGCAGCAGUGGGGAAUAUUGGACAAUGGGCGAAAGCCUGAUCCAGCAAUGCCGCGUGAGUGAUGAAGGCCUUCGGUUGGUAAA